CACAAAUUGGGUGUCAUUGAAGAUAUUGCUACUCACAUUUUUUUUUUUAUUACUAAACAAGAUUGAUAUUUUGUCUUUAACACAACUACAGCAGAAAGUUCCUGGAUAUGUGGAUAUAUGUAUUUUUCACCCUUUUGCUAAUUUGUUUUUUCCGACAUCAAUUUGAAUUUAUUUUCUGUUAAUUCUUAUAUGGGCUCUCUUGCAACAGACUAUGCUCCCCUAGUGGAGUGUGCCCACAGUUUGAAAAACUCUGUCUUAUAUUAUGCAAGCAAUGAUGAGCAAACUAUUAUAUUAUAUCAUUAUGCACUAAUUAAAUCCUCAGAUGCAAGUUAUAAACUUCAUUGUAGUGGAAUUCCAUACUAUAUAAAGUCACAGCAAGCAAGAUAUAUCUAUAGUAAUAGGACUGACAUUCAAAAUAUUUAACAACUGGUAUGAUAUAUGGUUAUAUAUAUAUAUAUAUGUAGG
Molecule: long non-coding RNA, 465 nt
Filed under: Androctonus crassicauda
Lineage: Eukaryota; Metazoa; Arthropoda; Arachnida; Scorpiones; Buthidae
Source: RNAcentral